Transfer RNA from Peptoniphilus duerdenii ATCC BAA-1640, 72 nucleotides. It matches the Rfam family "tRNA". Rfam says of the family: Transfer RNA (tRNA) molecules are approximately 80 nucleotides in length. Their secondary structure includes four short double-helical elements and three loops (D, anti-codon, and T loops). NCBI's taxonomy places the organism in Bacteria, Bacillati, Bacillota, Tissierellia, Tissierellales, Peptoniphilaceae. The record is from Rfam.
AGGGGUAUAGUUCAGUGGUAGAACACUGGUCUCCAAAACCAGGUGCCGUGGGUUCAAAUCCUGCUACCCCUG